RNAcentral lists this ribosomal RNA (481 nucleotides) under uncultured bacterium. Its description in RNAcentral is "partial 16S ribosomal RNA". It matches the Rfam family "Bacterial small subunit ribosomal RNA", at positions 28 to 507 of the family's 1533-position model. The record is from RNAcentral.
GAUGAACGCUGGCGGCGUGCCUAACACAUGCAAGUCGAACGGAGAUUACGGACGGAAGUUUUCGGAUGGAAGACUGUAAUUCUUAGUGGCGGACGGGUGAGUAACGCGUGGGCAACUUGCCCUAUACAGGGGGAUAGCAGCUGGAAACGGCUGGUAAGACCGCAUAAGUCGGUUAAAUCGCAUGAUUUGAUCGGGAAAUGAGCAAUCAGGUAUAGGAUGGGCCCGCGUCCGAUUAGCCAGUUGGCAGGGUAAAAGCCUACCAAAGCGACGAUCGGUAGCCGGACUGAGAGGUCGGACGGCCACAUUGGGACUGAGACACGGCCCAAACUCCUACGGGAGGCAGCAGUGGGGGAUAUUGCACAAUGGAGGAAACUCUGAUGCAGCGACGCCGCGUGAGUGAAGAAGUAUUUCGGUAUGUAAAGCUCUAUCAGCAGGGAAGAUGAUGACGGUACCUGACUAAGAAGCCCCGGCUAACUACGUG